GGAAAGGUAAGCUAAUUUAAGCUACCAGGUUCAUACCCUGUUUAUAGAUAUAUAAUUCUCCUCUCCA
Molecule: transfer RNA, 67 nt
Filed under: Dinorhynchus dybowskyi
Lineage: Eukaryota; Metazoa; Arthropoda; Insecta; Hemiptera; Pentatomidae
Description: tRNA-Met
Source: RNAcentral